GUGCCUUGCAUCAGCAGCACAUAUGCUAAAGUUAGAAUGUAACAGAGGUUAACAUAGUACCUAUGCAAGGAUGAAAUGCAAAUUCACGAAGAAUUCUUUAUUAUA
Molecule: small nuclear RNA, 105 nt
Organism: Gracilinanus agilis (Agile Gracile Mouse Opossum)
Lineage: Eukaryota; Metazoa; Chordata; Mammalia; Didelphimorphia; Didelphidae
Source: RefSeq, a predicted model, not a curated record